RNAcentral lists this ribosomal RNA (487 nucleotides) under uncultured bacterium. RNAcentral's name for it is "partial 16S ribosomal RNA". It matches the Rfam family "Bacterial small subunit ribosomal RNA", at positions 28 to 507 of the family's 1533-position model. The record is from RNAcentral.
GAUGAACGCUAGCGAUAGGCUUAACACAUGCAAGUCGAGGGGCAGCACAAGGUAGCUUGCUAUCUGGGUGGCGACCGGCGCACGGGUGCGUAACGCGUAUGCAACUUGCCCUAUACAGGAGGAUAACCCGUCGAAAGACGGACUAAUACUGCGUAUGCUCACAACUUGGCAUCAAGUGGUGAGGAAAGAAAUUCGGUAUAGGAUAGGCACGCGUCCCAUUAGCUUGUUGGUGAGGUAACGGCUCACCAAGGCAACGAUGGGUAGGGGAACUGAGAGGUUUAUCCCCCACACUGGUACUGAGACACGGACCAGACUCCUACGGGAGGCAGCAGUGAGGAAUAUUGAUCAAUGGGCGCGAGCCUGAACCAGCCAAGUCGCGUGAAGGAUGACUGUCUUAUGGAUUGUAAACUUCUUUUAUACGGGAAUAACAAGAGUCACGUGUGACUCCCUGCAUGUACCGUAUGAAUAAGCAUCGGCUAACUCCGUG